UGCACCGAAGCUGCGGCAGCGACACUGUGUGUUGUUGGGUAGGGGAGCGUUCUGUAAGCCUGUGAAGGUGUGUCGUGAGGCAUGCUGGAGGUAUCAGAAGUGCGAAUGCUGACAUAAGUAACGAUAAAGCGGGUGAAAAGCCCGCUCGCCGGAAGACCAAGGGUUCCUGUCCAACGUUAAUCGGGGCAGGGUGAGUCGACCCCUAAGGCGAGGCCGAAAGGCGUAGUCGAUGGGAAACGGGUUAAUAUUCCCGUACUUGGUGUUACUGCGAAGGGGGGACGGAGAAGGCUAUGUUGGCCGGGCGACGGUUGUCCCGGUUUAAGCGUGUAGGUGUGUGUUCCAGGUAAAUCCGGUUCACUUUAACACUGAGGCGUGACGACGAGGCACUACGGUGCUGAAGCAACAAAUGCCCUGCUUCCAGGAAAAGCCUCUAAGCAUCAGGUAACAUCAAAUCGUACCCCAAACCGACACAGGUGGUCAGGUAGAGAAUACCAAGGCGCUUGAGAGAACUCGGGUGAAGGAACUAGGCAAAAUGGUGCCGUAACUUCGGGAGAAGGCACGCUGACACGUAGGUGAAGUGAUUUACUCAUGGAGCUGAAGUCAGUCGAAGAUACCAGCUGGCUGCAACUGUUUAUUAAAAACACAGCACUGUGCAAACACGAAAGUGGACGUAUACGGUGUGACGCCUGCCCGGUGCCGGAAGGUUAAUUGAUGGGGUCAGCGCAAGCGAAGCUCCUGAUCGAAGCCCCGGUAAACGGCGGCCGUAACUAUAACGGUCCUAAGGUAGCGAAAUUCCUUGUCGGGUAAGUUCCGACCUGCACGAAUGGCGUAAUGAUGGCCAGGCUGUCUCCACCCGAGACUCAGUGAAAUUGAACUCGCUGUGAAGAUGCAGUGUACCCGCGGCAAGACGGAAAGACCCCGUGAACCUUUACUAUAGCUUGACACUGAACAUUGAGCCUUGAUGUGUAGGAUAGGUGGGAGGCUUUGAAGUGUGGACGCCAGUCUGCAUGGAGCCGACCUUGAAAUACCACCCUUUAAUGUUUGAUGUUCUAACGUGGACCCGUUACCCGGGUUGCGGACAGUGUCUGGUGGGUAGUUUGACUGGGGCGGUCUCCUCC
RNAcentral lists this ribosomal RNA (1118 nucleotides) under Salmonella enterica subsp. enterica serovar Enteritidis. RNAcentral describes it as "partial 23S ribosomal RNA". It matches the Rfam family "Bacterial large subunit ribosomal RNA", at positions 1190 to 2290 of the family's 2925-position model. The record is from RNAcentral. Lineage: Bacteria; Pseudomonadati; Pseudomonadota; Gammaproteobacteria; Enterobacterales; Enterobacteriaceae.